This 464-nucleotide ribosomal RNA is filed under the name Vreelandella stevensii. RNAcentral's name for it is "partial 16S ribosomal RNA". It matches the Rfam family "Bacterial small subunit ribosomal RNA", at positions 338 to 795 of the family's 1533-position model. The record is from RNAcentral. Lineage: Bacteria; Pseudomonadati; Pseudomonadota; Gammaproteobacteria; Oceanospirillales; Halomonadaceae.
CCUACGGGAGGCAGCAGUGGGGAAUAUUGGACAAUGGGGGGAACCCUGAUCCAGCCAUGCCGCGUGUGUGAAGAAGGCCCUCGGGUUGUAAAGCACUUUCAGUGAGGAAGAACGCCUGUGGUUAAUACCCAUCAGGAAAGACAUCACUCACAGAAGAAGCACCGGCUAACUCCGUGCCAGCAGCCGCGGUAAUACGGAGGGUGCGAGCGUUAAUCGGAAUUACUGGGCGUAAAGCGCGCGUAGGUGGCUUGAUAAGCCGGUUGUGAAAGCCCCGGGCUCAACCUGGGAACGGCAUCCGGAACUGUCAAGCUAGAGUGCAGGAGAGGAAGGUAGAAUUCCCGGUGUAGCGGUGAAAUGCGUAGAGAUCGGGAGGAAUACCAGUGGCGAAGGCGGCCUUCUGGACUGACACUGACACUGAGGUGCGAAAGCGUGGGUAGCAAACAGGAUUAGAUACCCCAGUAGUC